GGCGAACGGGUGAGUAACGCGUAGGAAUCUACCCAAGAGUGGGGGACAACCCGGAGAAAUCCGGGCUAAUACCGCAUACGCCCUACGGGGUAAAGUGGGGGAGCUUUUCGGAGCCCUCAUGCUUUUGGAUGAGCCUGCGUCGGAUUAGCUAGUUGGUGAGGUAAUGGCUCACCAAGGCGACGAUCCGUAGCUGGUCUGAGAGGAUGACCAGCCACACUGGGACUGAGACACGGCCCAGACUCCUACGGGAGGCAGCAGUGGGGAAUAUUGGACAAUGGGGGCAACCCUGAUCCAGCCAUGCCGCGUGUGUGAAGAAGGCCUUAGGGUUGUAAAGCACUUUCAGUGGGGAAGAAAAGCCUGAGGAUAAUACCCUCGGGUUAUGACGGUACCUACAGAAGAAGCACCGGCUAAUUCCGUGCCAGCAGCCGCGGUAAUACGGA
Molecule: ribosomal RNA, 440 nt
Filed under: uncultured Gammaproteobacteria bacterium
Lineage: Bacteria; Pseudomonadati; Pseudomonadota; Gammaproteobacteria
Description: bacterial SSU rRNA
Rfam family: Bacterial small subunit ribosomal RNA
Source: RNAcentral